This 468-nucleotide ribosomal RNA is filed under the name uncultured bacterium. Its description in RNAcentral is "partial 16S ribosomal RNA". It matches the Rfam family "Bacterial small subunit ribosomal RNA", at positions 28 to 507 of the family's 1533-position model. The record is from RNAcentral.
GACGAACGCUGGCGGCGUGCUUAACACAUGCAAGUCGAACGGAAAGGCCCUGCUUUUGUGGGGUGCUCGAUUGGCGAACGGGUGAGUAACACGUGAGUAACCUGCCCUUGACUUUGGGAUAACUUCAGGAAACUGGGGCUAAUACCGGAUAGGAUCUCCUGCUGCAUGUUGGGGGUUGGAAAUUUUCGGCUGUUGGGGAUGGUCUCGCGGCUUAUCAGCUUGUUGGUGGGGUAGUGGCUUACCAAGGCUUUGACGGGUAGCCGGCCUGAGAGGGUGACCGGCCACAUUGGGACUGAGAUACGGCCCAGACUCCUACGGGACGCAGCAGUGGGGAAUAUUGCACAAUGGGGGGGAGCCUGAAGCAGCAACGCCGCGUGCGGGAUAACGGCCUUCGGGUUGAAAACCACUUUCGCCUGUGCCAAGGCGGGCGUGACGGUAAUGGGUAAGAAAGCACCGGCUAACUACGUG